GUCUUAUUGAUAAUAAUAUUAAGUCUGGCCUGCCCACUGAUGAAUUAAAUGGCCGCAGUAUUUUAACUGUGCUAAGGUAGCAUAAUCAUUAGUUUUUUAAUUGAAAGCUUGAAUGAAGGGUUGGAUGAGAAAAUUACUGUCUUUAUUGAAAAUACAUUAAAAAUUUAUUUUUAAGUUAAAAAGCUUAAAUAUAGUUUAAAGACGAGAAGACCCUAUAGAGUUUUAUAUAAUUUAUAUUUAAUAUUUUUAGUAUUAAUAGUAUUAAUUUUAAUUUAUAUUUAAUUGGGGUGAUUUAAAAAUUUAAAAAACUUUUUAUUAAUUUUUACAUUUAUUUAUGGUUUAUUGAUCCAAUUUUAUUGAUUAAAAGAUCAAAUUACCUUAGGGAUAACAGCGUUAUUUUUUUUUAGAGUUCUUAUUAAAAAAAAAGAUUGCGACCUCGAUGUUGGAUUAAAAUUUAUAUUUGGUGUAGAAGCUAAAAAUUUUAGGUCUGUUCGACCUUUAAAAUUUUACA
This 511-nucleotide ribosomal RNA is filed under the name Syneta adamsi. RNAcentral's name for it is "partial 16S ribosomal RNA". The stretch from base 384 to 511 matches the Rfam family "Bacterial large subunit ribosomal RNA", at positions 2473 to 2600 of the family's 2925-position model. Lineage: Eukaryota; Metazoa; Arthropoda; Insecta; Coleoptera; Chrysomelidae. The record is from RNAcentral.